Peromyscus maniculatus bairdii (prairie deer mouse) is the source of this 1098-nucleotide non-coding RNA. NCBI's taxonomy places the organism in Eukaryota, Metazoa, Chordata, Mammalia, Rodentia, Cricetidae. The record is from RefSeq and is a predicted model, not a curated record.
GAGUGCUGGGAUUAAAGACAUAUGCCAUCAUGCCUGGUUUCACAUCUUCCUCUUAACCUUUUUAUUUUCUGGAGAGUUGACCAUGAACCAUGCAUGGUUCAACAGACUGACUCCAGUAAAGAUGCAGUAUGGGAAAGAUCCUUAGCCUCAGUUCCUGUAAACGGCUUCCUAAAAUUAACCCUACAAUGGAUUCUGACUGUGUUCUCAUCAGUGCCUACUUCUUCCCAGGAUGGACUGAAACUUCUUGCCAUGGAGCUCCAGUUCUGAGGAACCAAAGCCACCAAAUUCUCCCUUGUCACUACCACAAUGGGAAACAUCAAACUGUGCAGCAUUGUUGAGAAUAUGAACUCCAGCAACCACUAAAUGAUUCUAUUCAUCAGAUGUAUGAGUGCCCAGCACUAGCCAAUGAAAGGCAUAAUCCUUUCCUUCUGGUUUCAUCACUUCAGGAAGCCACUGAAUGUGCCAUCUUCCUAGGAACUCCUGCACCAGGAGUGCUAAGUGGAGGAAGAAACGAAUGUGCAGGCUGAAGCCAAGAGAGGAAAGACGAGGCAGAGGUCCAAUAAACUAGGCUUGUGCACCCUGAGGCUAAUGGAGCAGAAGCAAGGGAUGCUGAAGGCCGGGGCUUCGGUACAAGUCGCUGGACUGUGUGCUACUAUCGCAGAAGUCUGAUGGACCUGGAACAUCGCCAUCGGCUCGCAGAGACCACCUGAGAGACUUUGCUUUCAUUACAACCAAAGCAUUCCCACUGGCCCUAGGCUCUAGACCUAUGGCAUUCUGGACUCCUUCUGUUCUCACUUGUGGCCAAGUGUAACUUGUGUACAAUAAGCCAUCUUUUCUCGCUGUCUCAGCUGAAGAAUAAAAAAAAAAAAAAAAGUCUAAAGUAAGAAAGCAGAUCUGUGGAUGGUAUGUGAAGUGAGUAGAAAAUUUCUUAAUAAAGAAAAAAAUUUGAAAAAAAAAAAGAAUGGAGGAAGCAGAGGCAAAUACCAAUACUAACUUUUUAGAAUUAAAGAUGACAGUAUAAUCCAAUUUUUGAAAAUAUGGUUGUCUGUGGGGAAAAGAAGAAACAAAUGUAGAAGUCUGCCUUCUAGCAGUGUCUUG